GGUCCCAUGGUGUAAGGCGCAGCACUCAGGACUUUGAAUCCUGCAAUGUGAAUUCAAAUCUCAGUGGGACCU
Molecule: transfer RNA, 72 nt
Organism: Pelodiscus sinensis (Chinese soft-shelled turtle)
Lineage: Eukaryota; Metazoa; Chordata; Testudines; Trionychidae
Rfam family: tRNA
About the family: Transfer RNA (tRNA) molecules are approximately 80 nucleotides in length.
Source: Rfam